This 489-nucleotide ribosomal RNA is filed under the name uncultured bacterium. Its description in RNAcentral is "bacterial SSU rRNA". It matches the Rfam family "Bacterial small subunit ribosomal RNA", at positions 15 to 518 of the family's 1533-position model. The record is from RNAcentral.
GAUCCUGGCUUAGGAUGAACGCUGGCGGCGUGCUUAACACAUGCAAGUCGAACGAAGCAGCUUCUGCUGCAAGAAAGUGACUAGUGGCGGACGGGUGAGUAACGCGUGGGUAACCUGCCUCAUACAGGGGGAUAACAGUUGGAAACGACUGCUAAGACCGCAUAACCCGCUAGUGUCGCAUGACACGGACGGAAAAUAUUUAUAGGUAUGAGAUGGGCCCGCGUCUGAUUAGCUAGUUGGUAAGGUAACGGCUUACCAAGGCGACGAUCAGUAGCCGACUUGAGAGAGUGAUCGGCCACAUUGGGACUGAGACACGGCCCAAACUCCUACGGGAGGCAGCAGUGGGGAACAUUGGACAAUGGGGGAAACCCUGAUCCAGCCGACGCCGCGUGAGUGAAGAAGUAUUUCGGUAUGUAAAGCUCUAUCAGCAGGGAAGAUAAUGACAGUACCUGACUAAGAAGCCCCGGCUAACUACGUGCCAGCCGCGGC